This 515-nucleotide ribosomal RNA is filed under the name uncultured bacterium. RNAcentral describes it as "bacterial SSU rRNA". It matches the Rfam family "Bacterial small subunit ribosomal RNA", at positions 334 to 847 of the family's 1533-position model. The record is from RNAcentral.
GACUCCUACGGGAGGCAGCAGUGAGGAAUAUUGGUCAAUGGGCGAGAGCCUGAACCAGCCAAGUCGCGUGAGGGAGUACUGCCCUAUGGGUUGUAAACCUCUUUUGUCGGGGAGCAAAAGCCGGACGUGUCCGGCUGUGAGAGUACCCGAAGAAAAAGCAUCGGCUAACUCCGUGCCAGCAGCCGCGGUAAUACGGAGGAUGCGAGCGUUAUCCGGAUUUAUUGGGUUUAAAGGGUGCGCAGGCGGAUUUUUAAGUCAGCGGUCAAAUCGUGGGGCUCAACCCCAUCCAGCCGUUGAAACUGGGGAUCUAGAGUGUGCGAGAGGUAUGCGGAAUGCGUGGUGUAGCGGUGAAAUGCAUAGAUAUCACGCAGAACCCCGAUUGCGAAGGCAGCAUACCGGUGCACAACUGACGCUCAGGCACGAAAGCGUGGGUAUCGAACAGGAUUAGAUACCCUGGUAGUCCACGCAGUAAACGAUGAAUGCUACCUGUUUGGCCAGAUUGAAGGCUGAGCGGG